UAAACAAUGACAACCAGGCUCAAGCACAUCAUCAAACUUCCCAAAGGUUUCUGUUAUAGCUACAGUUGACUGCUCCACUCAAAUACACCCAAGAGCUUGCCCCAUCUUAUGAUCAAAAUCAAUUAUUCCAAAAUCAAUACACAUACACAGACUUCAAUUAAUACAUUAAAUUCAUAUAAAAAAUAAACAACAAAUCUGUCUUUCUUUUACAAACAUUUUGAUGUCCAAUUCAUAGAAAACUGAAUAAGCUAUUCCAAUAUAUCCUUUAAAUACUCAACAAAGACAUGGCAGCAAAAGCUCAUACUAACCUUUCACGUCCAACAUAAUAAAAAAUCACUAACACCAAUGUUAAGACAGUUGUUACCGGUUAUAGUUGAGGCUUUAAUAUUCCAAAGAGCAUCAAUAAGUCCAAAAAGAUAAAAUUUAAUAGAAAAGAACAAAAGAAAGAAAUUUUCUUUGUACUUUCUACCUUGAAGGUGACGCGUUCUCUAAUUUAUAUACAACUAUCAAGGAAAAACAAUUCAGCUCUUUCAUUGAACUAAUCAGUUUGAAUAUCACUAUAACUAAGGAUGCAGAUAAGCCAAGCAACAAAUAACAGCAUAACAAUUAACAAAUCGUUUUCAAAUGCUAAAAAUAGUCAGCAACAGUUGUGUUUCGUGAACUUAAUUUGUUUAAUACAGCUGCGGUAUGAGAAGUGAGAGCUACAGCCUACUACCUUUAAUUUUUAAACAAUCAAAGAAGAUCCCAUAGGACAAGGCUACAAGCCCACAAGUAGAUAAUUUGCGCAUUCUGUAAGAUACUGAUAAUUCAUAUAUUCGUGUCACAUUUUACACGAAAAUUAUAUGUUAUAAUUCUUGUUGACAUGAAAACAUCAAAUACAUCUUUUUACUAAAAUUUUUAACCGUGUCUUGUAUUAUUCGUAUCAUUUUCAUAUGCUGCCAUUAGUGUCGUGUUGCCAGGUCUGCCUACCAGGCUAAAAAAAGAGGACAACUAUGUCAAAAUAUAUGACAAAAACAAAUCCAUAUUGAAAUAACGAAAAAGUGAUUUCGUUUACAGUUACUGCCAGAAAACUCAAAAACCAAGUCAACUUCCAAGCAAUUCUGAAAAAAAAAAAAGAGAUUAAACCUUAAUUUUCCCCGCUGUUUCGUGAUUUUGCAGAAGCAAAGCAAACAAUAGUAAGCCAGCGAUAUCACAGAGGAAACGAAAAAGAGAAAAAGUAAAAGAAGAAAAUUGCAGCUAUAAUUACAAGAAUUGCAUCUCUUAAAAGAACAAAAAUAUCAAAGACAUAGGCUUACCUAAAAGAAAAUUCAAGAUCGAGAGAAGCAAAUUCGAAAUUGGAAGAGAAAAAAAUUUCGCGAAAAGACGGUGUGCUUUUGCUCGCAAGACACGAA
This 1391-nucleotide long non-coding RNA is filed under the name Durio zibethinus. RNAcentral's name for it is "long non-coding RNA (DZIB_LNC002023)". The record is from RNAcentral. Lineage: Eukaryota; Viridiplantae; Streptophyta; Magnoliopsida; Malvales; Malvaceae.